This 467-nucleotide ribosomal RNA is filed under the name uncultured bacterium. RNAcentral describes it as "partial 16S ribosomal RNA". It matches the Rfam family "Bacterial small subunit ribosomal RNA", at positions 28 to 506 of the family's 1533-position model. The record is from RNAcentral.
GACGAACGCUGGCGGCGUGCUUAACACAUGCAAGUCGAACGGAAAGGCCCUGCUUUUGUGGGGUGCUCGAGUGGCGAACGGGUGAGUAACACGUGAGUAACCUGCCCUUGACUUUGGGAUAACUUCAGGAAACUGGGGCUAAUACCGGAUAGGAGCUCCUGCUGCAUGGUGGGGGUUGGAAAGUUUCGGCGGUUGGGGAUGGACUCGCGGCUUAUCAGCUUGUUGGUGGGGUAGUGGCUUACCAAGGCUUUGACGGGUAGCCGGCCUGAGAGGGUGACCGGCCACAUUGGGACUGAGAUACGGCCCAGACUCCUACGGGAGGCAGCAGUGGGGAAUAUUGCACAAUGGGCGGAGGCCGGAGGCAGCAACGCCGCGUGCGGGAUGACGGCCUUCGGGUUGUAAACCGCUUUCGCCUGUGACGAAGCGUGAGUGACGGUAAUGGGUAAAGAAGCACCGGCUAACUACGU